GGGGCUAUAGCUCAGCUGGGAGAGCGCUUGCAUGGCAUGCAGGAGGUCUGCGGUUCGAUCCCGCUUAGCUCCACCA
This 76-nucleotide transfer RNA is filed under the name Escherichia coli. RNAcentral's name for it is "tRNA-Ala". It matches the Rfam family "tRNA". Rfam says of the family: Transfer RNA (tRNA) molecules are approximately 80 nucleotides in length. Their secondary structure includes four short double-helical elements and three loops (D, anti-codon, and T loops). Lineage: Bacteria; Pseudomonadati; Pseudomonadota; Gammaproteobacteria; Enterobacterales; Enterobacteriaceae. The record is from RNAcentral.